RNAcentral lists this ribosomal RNA (318 nucleotides) under Myxococcales bacterium. Its description in RNAcentral is "partial 23S ribosomal RNA". It matches the Rfam family "Bacterial large subunit ribosomal RNA", at positions 2610 to 2925 of the family's 2925-position model. The record is from RNAcentral. Lineage: Bacteria; Pseudomonadati; Myxococcota; Myxococcia; Myxococcales.
UUUAGAACGUCGUGAGACAGUUCGGUCCCUAUCUGCCGUGGGCGUAGGAUACUUGAGGGAGGCUGCCCCUAGUACGAGAGGACCGGGGUGGACGGACCUCUAGUGUUCCUGUUGUCCUGCCAAGGGCAUUGCAGGGUAGCUAUGUCCGGAACGGAUAACCGCUGAAAGCAUCUAAGCGGGAAGCCACCUCCAAGAUUAGCAGUCCCUGACCUUCGGGUCCUAAAGGCCUCUCCAAGACCAGGAGUUUGAUAGGCUGGGUGUGGAAGUGCAGCAAUGCAUGGAGCUAACCAGUACUAAUCGGCCGUGAGGCUUGACCUU